Molecule: ribosomal RNA, 416 nt
Filed under: uncultured bacterium
Lineage: Bacteria
Description: bacterial SSU rRNA
Rfam family: Bacterial small subunit ribosomal RNA
Source: RNAcentral
AAUAUUGCACAAUGGGCGCAAGCCUGAUGCAGCAACGCCGCGUGCGGGAUGACGGCCUUCGGGUUGUAAACCGCUUUUAGUAAGGAAGAAGGGGGGCCUUCGGGUUUCUUGACGGUACUUGCAGAAAAAGGACCGGCUAACUACGUGCCAGCAGCCGCGGUAAUACGUAGGGUCCGAGCGUUGUCCGGAAUUAUUGGGCGUAAAGAGCUCGUAGGCGGUUUGUCGCGUCUGCUGUGAAAUCCCGAGGCUCAACCUCGGGCCUGCAGUGGGUACGGGCAGACUUGAGUGGUGUAGGGGAGACUGGAAUUCCUGGUGUAGCGGUGGAAUGCGCAGAUAUCAGGAGGAACACCGAUGGCGAAGGCAGGUCUCUGGGCACUUACUGACGCUGAGGAGCGAAAGCGUGGGGAGCGAACAGG